ACAAACGCGUUGAAAGGAAGAGUAAACUCUAACAAAGCUAACAGAGAGUUCUGGUUGGUGAAAAGGAACAGUGGAGUGAAAGUUGAAGAUGGCCCUGGAGCGGUGAAGGUGAGUAUAUUAUAUGAGCCGUCAACGGUUACACCCGUUAUAGUGUUAAUGAGGUCUGAAAGUUUAACAUAUUUCAUUGAAGAUAUUUUGAUGAUUGAUUAUGAAUAGAUAAUGAAAUUUCAGAUGAAGUAAAGUGGUACCACGAAGUCAACCCUCUCGUCUUUACA
This 275-nucleotide non-coding RNA is filed under the name Eubacterium sp. Its description in RNAcentral is "T-box sequence". It matches the Rfam family "T-box leader". Rfam says of the family: Uncharged tRNA acts as the effector for transcription antitermination of genes in the T-box leader family. T-boxes are found upstream of many aminoacyl-tRNA synthetase genes and some amino acid biosynthetic genes usually in Gram-positive bacteria. Lineage: Bacteria; Bacillati; Bacillota; Clostridia; Eubacteriales; Eubacteriaceae. The record is from RNAcentral.